RNAcentral lists this unclassified non-coding RNA (211 nucleotides) under plant metagenome. Its description in RNAcentral is "partial contains small subunit ribosomal RNA, internal transcribed spacer 1, and 5.8S ribosomal RNA". The record is from RNAcentral.
UUUCCGUAGGUGAACCUGCGGAAGGAUCAUUCAUAAUAAAGUGUUUUAUGGCACUUUUUAAAAAUCCAUACCCACCUUGUGUGCAAUGUUAGAUCUCGUCAAUCUUGGCGAGAUUUUUAUACACCAACUCAUUCUUUAACUAAUUUGUCUGAAAAUUAUUAUGAAUACUUAAUUCAAAAUACAACUUUCAACAACGGAUCUCUUGGCUCUC